This 730-nucleotide long non-coding RNA is filed under the name Dendronephthya gigantea. RNAcentral describes it as "uncharacterized LOC114537822, transcript variant X3". Lineage: Eukaryota; Metazoa; Cnidaria; Anthozoa; Malacalcyonacea; Nephtheidae. The record is from RNAcentral.
AUGAGCUUCUCUCUCGAUCUAUUCAAUAUGGUGGUCAAUCAAGAAAUGUUUUUGCUUGCAAAAAGAUCGUAAAAUGUUGGCGCUACAAGCUCGGAAAAGAAGGAAGCAUCCAAACAAAUUCAUUUGUAACAUGGUGGAUAACAAAGUCCCUUUUGAAAACCUACUUCAGUCAUUUGACGAUUAAAAGUCCAGCGAGAAAUGAAGUGAAAGGCGAUUUGAAAACCACGAGAUUGGUUGCGAUCGAAGGUGGACAGCAAGAUCGAAGCUCAGCAAGAUUGAAGAUUGUUCGAAGAAGAAGGAGUUCGCCGUUGACUAAAAGGUUUAUCUGAACAGCUAGUUGUCAAGAUGAAUGCGAAGACUCGCCCGGCCAAAUUCAAAAUGGCGAUGCCAAAGAAAACCAUCCACCUGGACCGUUCGCAGACCUUUCUGGGCAAGAUUGUUGUGCUGUCUGGUCAAAGUUAAGUAUUUUACUUUGAUGUUUGUGUGUCUUCGGCUAAUUGUUGGCCAGAAAUGACAAAAAGCCAUAUACAAUAUGAAAUAUUCUGCGUACAAGGAUAUAUCUAAAAUUUCGAACUUAAUUCUGCCUGCAAUGAUGAUAAUUUUUUACUGAAAAUUUAUGUCAUGAGCAACUUCCGCACCUAUAGACUGAAGCAGAACUGAACAUUUUGUCAUUAACGUUUAUCUCAACAGCCAGUUAUCAAGACGAACGUCAAGAGAACAGUUGAAAUAG